This 889-nucleotide long non-coding RNA is filed under the name Monodelphis domestica (gray short-tailed opossum). RNAcentral describes it as "lncRNA (ENSMODG00000046590.1)". Lineage: Eukaryota; Metazoa; Chordata; Mammalia; Didelphimorphia; Didelphidae. The record is from RNAcentral.
GAGAGGGGCAUGGGCAUGGGCAGAACAAUUCAGUCCGUAAGUGCAGCACUCCAGCACAUCUCAGGAAAAGGGACGAAGGGCAGGAUCGGCACCCCAAGCUCCGGGCCGGCAAUGCUGACGGCCAUCUUGGAAAGGGCCCCCAAAGUCCCUCCGUCUUUGGCUUGGCUUGUCCCAAGUUCCCCUGGAAAAUCUCAGAACACUGUACAUGGCUAGAUCUCUACAGCUUUGGGUCAAAGGAUCCCCAAAGCCUAGAUGAGCUCCAAGAGCUCCCAUCGUCUGUCAGAUUCAGGAGAAACGUCACCUUCUACAUGAAGUGUCUCCUAUGAAAAAGUGUUGGAAGACUUCAUCAAAUCAACCACCCAAGCACCCCUCCCCACUCAGCCUGGUCACUUCUAUCAGACAGACAUCCACUAACAUCCACCCAAACCCUACUGUGCAUCAAAGCUUCACUGAACCCUUUGCUAGGACUUCUUCACUUCAACUCGGUCCAAGAUGGAGCCACACAGAGGAAGAAGCAGAUAACUUGUCCUUCCCCCACCACAAACAAAAGCAAGAAGAACAGGAGGGAAGGCAAGGAAUUGCGUCCAGCAGAUUAACAGUCCCUUGAUGUUUGGACACUUCCCAGUAGCUCCAUGAGUUUUGAUGUUGAUUUGGGACUUUGAGUUCUCUUGUCUGUGUAUCCUCAGCCUCCCAUAAUGGCUACCUUUCUUCCUCUGAGGUGACCAUGACAAUCAGCAGCACUGAUAGCAGCUCUCCUUCUUCAAGGGGAACCAAUGUGCUAAUGAAGAUUGCCCAGUGGUGUCUGGCACAUCCGAUUCAAUGCAUUCUCCGACUCCCAUUAGAGAGAUAUUUCAAUAAAGAGUGCUUUGUGUGUUGAUUUUCCCUCGUG